Molecule: ribosomal RNA, 255 nt
Filed under: uncultured bacterium
Lineage: Bacteria
Description: partial 16S ribosomal RNA
Rfam family: Bacterial small subunit ribosomal RNA
Source: RNAcentral
UACGUAGGGUGCGAGCGUUGUCCGGAAUUAUUGGGCGUAAAGGGCUCGUAGGCGGUUUGUCGCGUCGGGAGUGAAAACCAUGGGCUUAACUCAUGGCUUGCUUCCGAUACGGGCAGACUAGAGGUAUGCAGGGGGAGAACGGAAUUCCUGGUGUAGCGGUGAAAUGCGCAGAUAUCAGGAGGAACACCGAUGGCGAAGGCAGGUCUCUGGGCAUUAACUGACGCUGAGGAGCGAAAGCAUGGGGGAGCGAACAGG